Molecule: ribosomal RNA, 683 nt
Filed under: alpha proteobacterium IMCC14465
Lineage: Bacteria; Pseudomonadati; Pseudomonadota; Alphaproteobacteria
Description: bacterial SSU rRNA
Rfam family: Bacterial small subunit ribosomal RNA
Source: RNAcentral
AACGAACGCUGGCGGCAGGCUUAACACAUGCAAGUCGAACGAGAAGCUUCUUCGGAAGUGGAAAGUGGCAGACGGGUGAGUAACGCGUGGGAAUUUGCCCAGAGGUUUGGAACAACCAUUGGAAACGAUGGCUAAUACCAGAUAAGCCCUUCGGGGGAAAGAUUUAUCGCCUUUGGAUAAGCCCGCGUAAGAUUAGCUAGUUGGUGAGGUAACGGCUCACCAAGGCGACGAUCUUUAGCUGGUCUGAGAGGAUGAUCAGCCACAUUGGGACUGAGACACGGCCCAGACUCCUACGGGAGGCAGCAGUGGGGAAUAUUGCGCAAUGGGGGAAACCCUGACGCAGCCAUGCCGCGUGAGUGACGAAGGCCUUAGGGUUGUAAAGCUCUUUCGCUAGGGAAGAUAAUGACGGUACCUAGUAAAGAAGCCCCGGCUAACUCCGUGCCAGCAGCCGCGGUAAUACGGAGGGGGCUAGCGUUGUUCGGAAUCACUGGGCGUAAAGCGCGCGUAGGCGGAUUGAUUAGUUGGGGGUGAAAUCCCGGGGCUCAACCUCGGAACUGCCUCCAAUACUGUCAGUCUUGAGUUCGUGAGAGGUAAGUGGAAUUCCGAGUGUAGAGGUGAAAUUCGUAGAUAUUCGGAAGAACACCAGUGGCGAAGGCGACUUACUGGCACGAUACUGACGCUGA